GACGAACCGAGCGAACGUUGUUCGGAAUCACUGGGCUUAAAGGGCGUGUAGGCGGCAACGCAAGUGUCGAGUGAAAUCCCAUCGCUCAACGAUGGAACGGCUCGGCAAACUGCGUGGCUUGAGGUCGGUAGAGGUGCUCGGAACUCUAGGUGGAGCGGUGAAAUGCGUAGAUAUCUAGAGGAACGCCUGAGGCGAAAGCGGGGCACUGGGCCGAUUCUGACGCUGAGACGCGAAAGCGUGGGGAGCAAACAGG
This 253-nucleotide ribosomal RNA is filed under the name uncultured bacterium. Its description in RNAcentral is "partial 16S ribosomal RNA". It matches the Rfam family "Bacterial small subunit ribosomal RNA", at positions 524 to 776 of the family's 1533-position model. The record is from RNAcentral.